UGGGGAAUAUUGCACAAUGGGCGCAAGCCUGAUGCAGCCAUGCCGCGUGUGUGAAGAAGGCCUUCGGGUUGUAAAGUACUUUCAGUCGGGAGGAAGGUGGUAAGGUUAAUAACCUUAUCAAUUGACGUUACCGACAGAAGAAGCACCGGCUAACUCCGUGCCAGCAGCCGCGGUAAUACGGAGGGUGCAAGCGUUAAUCGGAAUUACUGGGCGUAAAGCGCACGCAGGCGGUUGAUUGAGUCAGAUGUGAAAUCCCCGGGCUUAACCCGGGAAUUGCAUCUGAUACUGGUCAGCUAGAGUCUUGUAGAGGGGGGUAGAAUUCCUUGUGUAGCGGUGAAAUGCGUAGAGAUGUGGAGGAAUACCGGUGGCGAAGGCGGCCCCCUGGACAAAGACUGACGCUCAGGUGCGAAAGCGUGGGGAGCAAACAGG
RNAcentral lists this ribosomal RNA (429 nucleotides) under Chloroflexota bacterium. Its description in RNAcentral is "Chloroflexi bacterium partial 16S ribosomal RNA". It matches the Rfam family "Bacterial small subunit ribosomal RNA", at positions 355 to 776 of the family's 1533-position model. The record is from RNAcentral. Lineage: Bacteria; Bacillati; Chloroflexota.